This 254-nucleotide ribosomal RNA is filed under the name uncultured bacterium. RNAcentral's name for it is "partial 16S ribosomal RNA". It matches the Rfam family "Bacterial small subunit ribosomal RNA", at positions 524 to 777 of the family's 1533-position model. The record is from RNAcentral.
UACGUAGGGUGCAAGCGUUAAUCGGAAUUACUGGGCGUAAAGCGUGCGCAGGCGGUUUUGUAAGUCUGUCGUGAAAUCCCUGGGCUCAACCCAGGAAGUGCACUCGAAACUGGCAGGCUUGAGUACUGAAGAGGGUCGCGGAAUUCCCGGUGUAGAGGUGAAAUUCGUAGAUAUCGGGAGGAACACCAGUGGCGAAGGCGGCGACCUGGGCAGAUACUGACACUGAGGUGCGAAAGCGUGGGGAGCAAACAGGG